UACGGGGGGGGCAAGCGUUGUUCGGAAUUACUGGGCGUAAAGGGUUCGUAGGUGGCUUGCUAAGUCAGACGUGAAAUCCCUCAGCUUAACUGGGGAACUGCGUCUGAGACUGGUGAGCUUGAGUGCAGGAGAGGAACGCGGAAUUCCAGGUGUAGCGGUGAAAUGCGUAGAUAUCUGGAGGAACACCGGUGGCGAAGGCGGCGUUCUGGACUGCUACUGACACUGAGGAGCGAAAGCCAGGGGAGCAAACGGG
RNAcentral lists this ribosomal RNA (253 nucleotides) under uncultured bacterium. RNAcentral describes it as "partial 16S ribosomal RNA". It matches the Rfam family "Bacterial small subunit ribosomal RNA", at positions 524 to 776 of the family's 1533-position model. The record is from RNAcentral.